This 253-nucleotide ribosomal RNA is filed under the name uncultured bacterium. RNAcentral describes it as "partial 16S ribosomal RNA". It matches the Rfam family "Bacterial small subunit ribosomal RNA", at positions 524 to 776 of the family's 1533-position model. The record is from RNAcentral.
UACAGAGGUGGCAAGCGUUGUUCGGAAUUACUGGGCGUAAAGGGCGCGUAGGCGGCCUUCUCAGUCGGACGUGAAAUCCCCAGGCUUAACUUGGGAACUGCGUCCGAUACUGGAAGGCUUGAGUGCGGGAGAGGGAUGUGGAAUUCCAGGUGUAGCGGUGAAAUGCGUAGAUAUCUGGAGGAACACCGGUGGCGAAGGCGGCAUCCUGGACCGACACUGACGCUGAGGCGCGAAAGCUAGGGGAGCAAACGGG